RNAcentral lists this ribosomal RNA (506 nucleotides) under uncultured bacterium. RNAcentral describes it as "partial 16S ribosomal RNA". It matches the Rfam family "Bacterial small subunit ribosomal RNA", at positions 30 to 523 of the family's 1533-position model. The record is from RNAcentral.
AUUGAACGCUGGCGGCAGGCCUAACACAUGCAAGUCGAACGGUAACAGGAAGCAGCUUGCUGCUUCGCUGACGAGUGGCGGACGGGUGAGUAAUGUCUGGGAAACUGCCUGAUGGAGGGGGAUAACUACUGGAAACGGUAGCUAAUACCGCAUAACGUCGCAAGACCAAAGAGGGGGACCUUCGGGCCUCUUGCCAUCGGAUGUGCCCAGAUGGGAUUAGCUAGUAGGUGGGGUAACGGCUCACCUAGGCGACGAUCCCUAGCUGGUCUGAGAGGAUGACCAGCCACACUGGAACUGAGACACGGUCCAGACUCCUACGGGAGGCAGCAGAGGGGAAUAUUGCACAAUGGGCGCAAGCCUGAUGCAGCCAUGCCGCGUGUAUGAAGAAGGCCUUCGGGUUGUAAAGUACUUUCAGCGGGGAGGAAGGCGAUAAGGUUAAUAACCUUGUCGAUUGACGUUACCCGCAGAAGAAGCACCGGCUAACUCCGUGCCAGCAGCCGCAGUAA